GCUUCGGCCUUAGUGGCGCACGGGUGCGUAACGCGUGGGAAUCUGCCCCUUGGUUCGGAAUAACAGUUGGAAACGACUGCUAAUACCGGAUGAUGACGUAAGUCCAAAGAUUUAUCGCCGAGGGAUGAGCCCGCGUAGGAUUAGGUAGUUGGUGUGGUAAAGGCGCACCAAGCCGACGAUCCUUAGCUGGUCUGAGAGGAUGAUCAGCCACACUGGGACUGAGACACGGCCCAGACUCCUACGGGAGGCAGCAGUGGGGAAUAUUGGACAAUGGGCGAAAGCCUGAUCCAGCAAUGCCGCGUGAGUGAUGAAGGCCUUAGGGUUGUAAAGCUCUUUUACCCGGGAUGAUAAUGACAGUACCGGGAGAAUAAGCUCCGGCUAACUCCGUGCCAGCAGCCGCGGUAAUACGGAGGGAGCUAGCGUUAUUCGGAAUUACUGGGCGUAAAGCGCACGUAGGCGGCUUUGUAAGUAAGAGGUGAAAGCCCAGAGCUCAACUCUGGAAUUGCC
RNAcentral lists this ribosomal RNA (507 nucleotides) under Sphingomonas sp. Air178. RNAcentral's name for it is "bacterial SSU rRNA". It matches the Rfam family "Bacterial small subunit ribosomal RNA", at positions 83 to 625 of the family's 1533-position model. The record is from RNAcentral. Lineage: Bacteria; Pseudomonadati; Pseudomonadota; Alphaproteobacteria; Sphingomonadales; Sphingomonadaceae.